ACUUUCUACUAUCUCUAAAUCUUUAUAUACAUUCCCUCAAAAAGAAAUUCUCUAUGUCACUACUACAAAUCCCGCUAAUUCUCGACGAUAUCUGCUCGACGCCGAAGGUACAGCGUUGGUGAAAAUUUGGGUCCGCGUAUUUUCUCGACGCGGUUUGUCGUCUUCUCUAAAAGUGGACACAGAAAGGCGUCGAGUACUUGGCACAUGCUAGGCACGUGGUAGACUAAUAGUACUCCGCUUCAAAAAUUUUGGGGGAAAAACACCCACUCCCACCCCGUGUUAACUGAACCCUAGCCUCCCACUAAUCAACUUCUCUCUCAUCAAUUCGUAUUCUCGAAAAAUCACAGAUCCAUCAACUGAUUUCAACCACAGAUCGAGGGCUCUUUGGUUCCUAUUCGCGUUUUCCCUACGUUUGAAGCUUAUCUUGCUGAUGUAACUUGUAAUUUUGUGUAUUCCGCUGUUAAUUUGCGAUAUCAAAUUAUGUUUUAUAUCUUCGUUUUUAAUCCUUCCUCUUCGUAGAUCUAUUGUUCAAUUCUAGGGAUUUUAAUUCAUUAUUUGGCAAGAUUGGUUUCGUUUUUUAUUUGGGUAAUUUAUUGGUUUUUUUAUAACUAUUUUGUUACUAGAUUGAAGAUUUGGAAGGUAGCUUGGGAAAUCGUUAAUCGUGUUUGGUUGAGGUAAUGAAAUUUAUUAUUAAAUAUUCGAGUUUAAUUUAGAUUUGUGUAUUUAUAGUUUAUCUGGUCAAUGGUUCCUGAUGAUAUCAAGGAGAAGGCCAACAAACAAGAGAAGGCUUCAGUCAUUGAUGUCACUCAGUUCGGUUUUUUUUUAAGGUUCUUGGUAAGGAUGUUCUGCCUAAUUCUCAUCUUGUUGUUAUUUAGGGUAAGUUUAUUUCUAAAAUUGCUGAAGAGAAGAUCAAGGCCGGAGAACGGUGGGGUUGUGCUUCUCGAUCACUGCCUAAGUGUUCUUUAUUUUUAGAUAUUACAAUUUUGGUUAUAUAUUUGUGUUAGGAGGAACAUUUAUAUUCUUUUUGAUCUAUAUCUGGGAUUUGCUUUUGUUGUUCUUAAUUCAUUCCAUUAAAUGAUGUGAACUAGUUUUCAACAAAUUUGGUUUUUAUAUUUAUGUUAAAUCAGAUAUUUGGGAUGUUCAAAUUGUCUUCUUUUAAUUUGAUUGGAUGAUGCUUUAUGGUCUGUUAAGUUUGAAUUGAAUCUUCUUUGGGUGUCCAAAAACAGUAACAUAUGGGCAUUAUUUACAGCAAUUUGUUGUCUUGAGACUCAAGUGAGAUUGAAGUGAAGCUUUAGUGGAAGGCAAUUUUUCUGUCUCCUUGUAUUUUGUCAAUGAAUAUGGGUUCAUUUAUUGGUUUAAUGAAAUGAAUUUCAUAGUUUGACCAUAUUUGGCUUAAAUUUUAUGGCCAUUAGCACCACAUGAUUCCCAAUAGCGAAAUUACGGUCAUAUUCUACAGUAAUUGAGUUCAUUAAGCUGCCUGGGCUUAACAAUUGUUUGAUAUUCUCUGUACGAUGUUACUGAAUUUGCAGAUAUGAGAAGAAUAUCUUUCGUUUCAGUUUUUCAGUAUGUGUACCGAUUUAUUCAAUUAUUAUUACUAGCUUCUUUCAGAUUUAUUUUUUUCCAUCUUUAGGGUUUUAUCUGAGGAUUUCAUGUGUUCACUACAACAAAACACGCUAAUUCUCGACGACAUGAGCUCGACGCGGUACGUACAGCGUUGGGGAAAUUUUUGGUCUGUCCUCAAGCCUUUUAACUGAUUUGAAUAAUCAUCUAUAUGCUCCAGAUAUCAUAACAUGGUUUGAUUCUUAAACUCCCCAGACAAAAAGCAACCUCAUUCUCGCAUUUCCUUAUUUCAUCUGAUAUUGUUCUCUUCAAUCAUAGUUGUAGGUUCAAUCUGCAAGUAGCCUCGCAGUUUGUUUCGAGUCAUGUUCUAUUCAGUUCCAAUUUAUGACCUGUCACUUGUCAAUGGCCAGAGGGAUUGCCUCUGUUCCAGGCCUGCCAGCUAUGGAGAUGACCAAGCGGCUCAACAUCAUGAACUUGCUCUUCCCACAAGGGAUUGAAUGAAUACACUGGAGAUCAAGGAAAAUUCGACAGCCAAUGUACCAAGGCCCAACCCUCAAGGUCUUAUCACGUGUACCAUCGGGACAACAAAUUCUGAUCCAAUGAUAACCCUCAAGAUUCUGAUGAGGCAUUGAGAGAGCAUUGACUAAUGCGAUUAAUUUGAUGAUACUAGAUUUUGGAUGUAAUUGAGUUUGGAAAUUUUUACAGCAUCACUCUAGCUUGCGUGUUUUGUAAAUUAUGUUCAGAAGCUGCAAGAUAGGAUUGUGUGUGCUUCAAGAGUUGUUACUGUAAUCUAAGGAAAUUGACAGGAGAGAAACGGAUGACUGCCAUAAAGCUAAGGUUGCUAGAAAGGACAUCGAGUUGGGAUCCUAUAUUUAUUCGACGCCCUGUUGCUGCUCCAUCAUUGAUCAUAUAUUUUUUUAGAUAAUGUUUUUGAUAAGUAAUAGGUUUUAUAUGUGAGGGAUUUUUUUAUGUAUGUGUACCUUUGUAAUUGAUAUUUGUAUAUUCUUAUUUUUGGAAAUAAAACAUGUUCCUGUUAAAGUCGUUGA
Molecule: long non-coding RNA, 2606 nt
Organism: Spinacia oleracea (spinach)
Lineage: Eukaryota; Viridiplantae; Streptophyta; Magnoliopsida; Caryophyllales; Amaranthaceae
Exons: 4
Source: RefSeq, a predicted model, not a curated record